This 533-nucleotide small RNA is filed under the name Pongo abelii (Sumatran orangutan). RNAcentral's name for it is "processed transcript". Lineage: Eukaryota; Metazoa; Chordata; Mammalia; Primates; Hominidae. The record is from RNAcentral.
AAUCUCCUCAAAACUUUGAGAAUGGAUCAUUGUUAGCUCAUUUUACAAACAGGAAAAUGAAAGAUUUGAAAGGAGCAUAGCGGCCACCGAUCAUGAACCGACAGAUGCCAGGAAAUCCUUUCCUUGUUUUGAUGAGCCCAACAAAAAGGCAACUUAUACAAUAUCUAUCACCCAUCCCAAAGAAUAUGGAGCACUUUCAAAUAUGCCAGUGGCGAAAGAAGAGUCAGUGGAUGAUAAAUGGACUCGAACAACUUUUGAGAAGUCUGUCCCCAUGAGCACGUACCUGGUGUGCUUUGCUGUACAUCAAUUUGACUCUGUAAAGAGAAUAUCAAAUAGUGGAAAACCUGGACAUAAAUAAUCAUUGAAGAUAAAGAUGGUGUACAGCCUCAUUAAAUUGUUCAAGGAAGAUUGAUCUAGUGCAUCUAGUCAUGAUUGUCAAGUGAAGUCAAGUGUGGCAAAGGGACACAUAAAGGAAGUAAUGGACAAAUGACACAGAGAGAAAGAGAAAGAGCGCGCAAGAGAGAAAUUGAUAG